RNAcentral lists this small nuclear RNA (262 nucleotides) under Anolis carolinensis (green anole). RNAcentral's name for it is "7SK RNA". The stretch from base 1 to 112 matches the Rfam family "7SK RNA", at positions 1 to 108 of the family's 331-position model. The record is from Rfam by way of RNAcentral. Lineage: Eukaryota; Metazoa; Chordata; Lepidosauria; Squamata; Anolidae.
AGAGGUGAGGGAGAUCUGGUGGCAACAUCUGUCCUCCCACCCCAAUGGAUUGCUAUGGUUGAUUUGGCUGAUAUGGCUGCUAGGUGGCUGCCAAUUCAUCCCUCAAUUCUCCAUUAAUGUCAUAUUCUGACAUCACAGCUCUAUAUGUCUGACUUCAAUCUCUUAUUCUAGUUUGCUGCAUCCCAUUGCCAAAGGGUUAUGUCUACCGGCAAUUAGGACAGAUAUUACAAUUUUUCCAGUGUUAUGAUAUCAAACUUAAGGA